AUUGAACGCUGGCGGCAGGCUUAACACAUGCAAGUCGAGCGAGCGGCGGACGGGUGAGUAAUGUCUGGGGAACUGCCUGAUGGAGGGGGAUAACUACUGGAAACGGUAGCUAAUACCGCAUACCAUCAGAUGUGCCCAUAUGGGAUUAGCUUGUAGGUGGGGUAAUGGCUCACCUAGGCGACGAUCCCUAGCUGGUCUGAGAGGAUGACCAGCCACACGGGGACUGAGACACGGUCCAGACUCCUACGGGAGGCAGCAGUGGGGAAUAUUGCACAAUGGGCGCAAGCCUGAUGCAGCCAUGCCGUGUGUAUGAAGAAGGCCUUCGGGUUGUAAAGCACUUUCAGCGGGGAGGCGUUACUCGCAGAAGAAGCACCGGCUAACUCCGUGCCAGCAGCCGCGGUAAUUC
RNAcentral lists this ribosomal RNA (406 nucleotides) under uncultured bacterium. RNAcentral's name for it is "partial 16S ribosomal RNA". It matches the Rfam family "Bacterial small subunit ribosomal RNA", at positions 30 to 526 of the family's 1533-position model. The record is from RNAcentral.